CACGUAGGGCGCAAGCGUUGUCCGGAAUUAUUGGGCGUAAAGAGCGCGUAGGCGGUCCGGUAAGUCGGUUGUGAAAGUCGGGGGGCUCAACCCUCGGAUGCCGGUGGAUACUGUCGGGCUUGAGUACGGAAGAGGCGAGUGGAAAUUCCUGGUGUAGCGGGUGAAAUGCGUAGAUAUCUGGAAGGAACACCGGUGGCGAAGG
RNAcentral lists this ribosomal RNA (202 nucleotides) under uncultured bacterium. Its description in RNAcentral is "partial 16S ribosomal RNA". It matches the Rfam family "Bacterial small subunit ribosomal RNA", at positions 524 to 721 of the family's 1533-position model. The record is from RNAcentral.